UAGCCCUGACGAGAGACGCAGACCUCAGAAAGGUCAGUUUUACUUUUAGUUUAGAUGCUUACUUGUGGGCUCCGGAGAAGUCAACUUACCAUCCUACUUCUUCGCUGUAUAAAGGAAUAUUGCACAUGUGUCUUCAGGGUAUAUAUAACUAUAAGUGCAGAAGACUUCUCCCCAACUGGAACCAAAGUGGAAGAAGAUUCUUCCCCUUGUGUCAGCCCCUGGCCGGCCUCAGACCAGCCAAGCCAAGGGGAGGUACUACACCGGUGAUUGAUCUGAGAUGAAAUUAUGAUGUUGGAUGAAACAUGAAGUCAUGAUCCUGGAGAGAGAAAAAAACAGACACGGAAUCCCUGCCACCAGUCCUCUGUGACUUUCUUUGAUACUAGGGUUUGUCUCUCCUACAUUCUCCUAAAAUACAGAUUUCAAAGACUAAAGACAUGCUAAUUAUCUGCCCUGCAUUUGGCACAGUUCCUGAUGCAUGAUAGAUGGCCAGCACUCAUCAAUUGAAUUAACACAGAAAAUGAAGAGGAGUGAGAGACAAGGCACAAUGGAAAUUGUGGAACAGGAAAAUGCAGAUUUAGUGGCUGUUAAAAAGUUGCAAGUGAAUUAAUAUUGUAAAUUAUUUGCAGAGUCAUUAAAAUGAAGGCUAACUGUGUGUGUCCUAAGUCAUAAUCCAGCUAUCUGACAGCAAGUAAGUGGUUGAUACAGAAGUUCCACAUAUCACUGGGGUCCAGGGCUAUUGAACGAAUCAAUGCUUAUAUGCAUUGGUUGGAAAAUGGCUUUGGUAACUGAGUCAUGGUAAAGGAUGUGUGCUUAUAUUUGACCCUGAAAAGGGCCAUGGAUAUAUAAUGCAGGGUUAAUUUAUGGGUUAAUGUCUUGGAUGCUGGAAUUCUCUAAGUUUGUUCAUUUUAACCUUGUUCAUCAUCCCAGCAUAUGGUGCUAAUGUCUGUCCAGGAACUAUUGGCUUUAGACAUUAAUGAUGGCAAACUCAGGCUUCCCUUUUUUGUGGGUAGUAUGGCCAGUCUCCUGCUUUCAUACUUGUGUCUCAAAAAAGACAUCUAUGGAAAGAAGAGCAGGUGAUACUUAUUGAAACAAAACCCUUCUUUGGUCUAGAGGCUACAACUAAGUGGGGUAAACUGAACUUAAUUAUUUAUUAAUUUAAUUUGGUGCAUAUGUGCUUCAGAAAACAUCUUUGCAUCCAACUGUGCCUUUUCCUUCAUUCCCUGCUCUUCAAAAUCUCUACCUGUGCUUUAAAAACAAAGUAAAACAAUAAAAUUAUAAGAUAGAGGGGUAAGAGAAAACAUUAUGCAUAUUUUAUAGGAGAUCCAUAAAAAUGCAAAUUUUAUUCAGGUUUUUGGCUCCUAGGAGACAUGUGUCCCUGGAAAUGAAGAUUUAUUAGAAAAGAUAUGUCCAGUGGGCAAAAAUAUAUGAGAAAUUAUGACUUUCUGGUUUUCUUUGUUCCUCACUGUUCACAGCACCAGCUGCCUAUAGCUGGGAUCCCUGUGCUCUUAUUCCUGUCUUCAAAUUCAAGUUCUAGAUCUUUUUCAAGGAAAAGGAAAUAAUUACAAUGCUUAUAAAUGCUUAAAAAUAAGUUAAUGUGUGAAAAUUGCUUUUUC
Non-coding RNA from Sus scrofa (pig), 1613 nucleotides. The record is from RefSeq and is a predicted model, not a curated record. NCBI's taxonomy places the organism in Eukaryota, Metazoa, Chordata, Mammalia, Artiodactyla, Suidae.